CCCGACGGGGUGCAGCAGGCGCGAAACCUUUACACUGCACGACAGUGCGAUAAGGGGACCCCAAGUGCGCAGGCAUAGUGCCUGUGCUUUUCUGGACUGUAGGGCGGUCCAGGAACAAGGGCUGGGCAAGACCGGUGCCAGCCGCCGCGGUAAUACCGGCAGCCCAAGUGAUGGCCGCUGUUAUUGGGCCUAAAGCGUCCGUAGCUGGCCGCGUAAGUCCGUCGGGAAAUCCGCCCGCUCAACGGGCGGCCGUCCGGCGGAAACUGCUCGGCUUGGGACCGGGAGGCCUGAGGGGUACGAUCGGGGUAGGAGUGAAAUCCUGUAAUCCCGCUCGGACCGCCGAUGGGGAAACCACCUCAGGAACACGGAUCCGACAGUGAGGGACGAAAGCCAGGGUCUCGAACCGGAUUAGAUACCCGGGUAGUCCUGGCCGUAAACGAUGCCUGUUAGGUGUGACUCCCACUACGAGUGGGUGUUGUGCCGUAGGAAGCCGCUAAACA
This 500-nucleotide ribosomal RNA is filed under the name uncultured haloarchaeon. Its description in RNAcentral is "SSU rRNA". It matches the Rfam family "Archaeal small subunit ribosomal RNA", at positions 321 to 821 of the family's 1478-position model. The record is from RNAcentral. Lineage: Archaea; Methanobacteriati; Methanobacteriota; Halobacteria; Halobacteriales; Halobacteriaceae.